Alligator sinensis (Chinese alligator) is the source of this 139-nucleotide non-coding RNA. The record is from Rfam. Lineage: Eukaryota; Metazoa; Chordata; Crocodylia; Alligatoridae.
AUCUUUGUACACUACCAGUAUUGUGGCUUAUGAGGUUGAACUGAGAAACAAUCAUUGCUAGUUGAAAGCUUUUCCCACUACCUUGCCCUGAUGACUUUAAAUACAGCUGUAGUAGGCAAUUUUCAGUAGUUUAUGUGAA